AUUCUAACCCUUACCCGUCAUCCGGGAAGGAGACAGUUUCAGGGGGGCAGUUUGACUGGGGCGGUCGCCUCCCAAAAGGUAACGGAGGCGCUCAAAGGUUCUCUCAGCACGGUCGGAAAUCGUGCACAGAGUGUAAAGGCAUAAGAGAGCUUGAUUGCAAGACAUACAGGUCGAGCAAGGUAGAAAUACGGACUUAGUGAUCCGGUGGUUCUGAGUGGAAGGGCCAUCGCUCAACGGAUAAAAGCUACCCUG
This 252-nucleotide unclassified non-coding RNA is filed under the name uncultured Peptostreptococcus sp. Its description in RNAcentral is "partial contains 16S-23S ribosomal RNA intergenic spacer and 23S ribosomal RNA". It matches the Rfam family "Bacterial large subunit ribosomal RNA", at positions 2219 to 2470 of the family's 2925-position model. Lineage: Bacteria; Bacillati; Bacillota; Clostridia; Peptostreptococcales; Peptostreptococcaceae. The record is from RNAcentral.